This 484-nucleotide ribosomal RNA is filed under the name uncultured bacterium. RNAcentral's name for it is "partial 16S ribosomal RNA". It matches the Rfam family "Bacterial small subunit ribosomal RNA", at positions 30 to 507 of the family's 1533-position model. The record is from RNAcentral.
AUUGAACGCUGGCGGCAGGCCUAACACAUGCAAGUCGAGCGGAUGCAGGGAGCUUGCUCCUGGAUUCAGCGGCGGACGGGUGAGUAAUGCCUAGGAAUCUGCCUGGUAGUGGGGGAUAACGUCCGGAAACGGGCGCUCAUACCGCAUUCGUCCUGAGGGCGUACGUGGGGGAUCUUCGGACCUCACGCUAUCAGAUGAGCCUAGGUCGGAUUAGCUAGUUGGUGGGGUAAAGGCCUACCAAGGCGACGAUCCGUAACUGGUCUGAGAGGAUGAUCAGUCACACUGGAACUGAGACACGGUCCAGACUCCUACGGGAGGCAGCAGUGGGGAAUAUUGGACAAUGGGCGAAAGCCUGAUCCAGCCAUGCCGCGUGUGUGAAGAAGGUCUUCGGAUUGUAAAGCACUUUAAGUUGGGAGGAAGGGCAGUAAGUUAAUACCUUGCCGUUUUGACGUUACCAACAGAAUAAGCACCGGCUAACUUCGUG